GGGAAAGAAGCAAGGAUCAGUUCCUUCUAGCAACAUGUUUUCUGUUACCCGCUUGGGGCUUGUGAUCCUCGUACUCUUCAAGAAGAGCAAUGGAGAUUCUGUGACCCAGACAGAAGGUCCAGUUACUGUCACAGAGAGGGCAUCUGUAAUGCUGAACUGCACCUACCAGACCACUUAUUCAACUCCUGCGGUUUUCUGGUACAUCCAAGAUCUCAACAGAGCCCCUCAGCUGCUUCUGAAGACGGCAACUGGAAACCAGAGGACGGAGAACCGAGGGUUUCAGGCCACGCUUGUGAAGAGCAGCCGCUCCUUCCACCUGCACAAGUCCUCACUGCAGCCGUCAGACUGGGCCCUGUACUACUGCGCUAGAAUUCAGUCUAACUGCUCACCAACUCUUCCCUUCAUGAAGCAGCUCAAGAGGCACAGGAACUGGACAGCCGUCAGGAUGAGGCCAUGA
This is a non-coding RNA of Nannospalax galili (Upper Galilee mountains blind mole rat), 457 nucleotides long. NCBI's taxonomy places the organism in Eukaryota, Metazoa, Chordata, Mammalia, Rodentia, Spalacidae. The record is from the annotation of a RefSeq genome assembly.